UGACUUUCAGGAUUUGGUCUACAAGAGAUUGAAGUUGUAAGAGUAGCGGGUGGUUUUAGUAGCACUAAAGAGCUCCAUCAAGGUGGUUCUACAGUAAGAGACAUUGAUCAGUGAU
Molecule: non-coding RNA, 115 nt
Organism: Nicotiana tabacum (common tobacco)
Lineage: Eukaryota; Viridiplantae; Streptophyta; Magnoliopsida; Solanales; Solanaceae
Source: RefSeq, a predicted model, not a curated record